Spinacia oleracea (spinach) is the source of this 3240-nucleotide long non-coding RNA. RefSeq lists it as uncharacterized. Lineage: Eukaryota; Viridiplantae; Streptophyta; Magnoliopsida; Caryophyllales; Amaranthaceae. The transcript is spliced from 12 exons. The record is from RefSeq and is a predicted model, not a curated record.
UACAAUUGUACAUCUUAAAUGUGCUACUCGUCGUGAGUAAAUAUUACGAAACACCCGAAAUAAAAAGUGAGCAAAAAAAACCCCGCCUUUUUUCUGCACCGGGUGCCUAGCCUUCUUGAUCCUCGAGCAACAUGCUUGAGAAGCCUACUCACGCAAUGUCAUAUAGACUGAACAAAAUCUAUUAAAUAUAAUCAUAAUAUGUAAAAAUUGAAGGAAAAAUCAUCCAAAAAGGGCAAAAAUUCCACAACCCAAACACAAUUGAAUUGGGUUUUUUUCCCGUUCAUUAAUCAUCUUGCACAAUUGAAGUGGGGUUUUUAUCCACUCAUUUCAUCAUCUUGCAAUGAUUUCACUUCCCGUUUUUGUUUGAUUGUUAUUGGACUCUUGGAAAUGUUUUGUGGUUGCAGCGUGCAACUGCUAAAUUCUUUCAAAUACAUUGACUCCUUUAUUAAGACUGGCUUUCUUCGACGAUGAUUGGAACGAUUCCAACCAAAGCUCUUGGGGAUGGAAAGGUAUCAAAUGGGGUUUGAAUCUGUUGAAAAAGGGAUGCUCGUGGACUAUAGGAGAUGGUUGCAAAGCGAAAAUUCACCAUCCCUGGGUGCGGGGCAAACCUCCCAACUGUUUUUUUUUGUCUAACAACAGCGCGGCAGGACAUGUCCGGGAUCUUACUAAUGAUGAUGAUACCUGGAACCAAGAGAAACUGGAGGCUAUGUUUGCCAUUGACACCAUUGCAGAAAUUAACUCUAUUUAUCCCCUUGAAAAAGGAAAUUGCGACACCAUUAGCUGGAAUUUUGAUAAAAAAAAUGGGGAGUACUCUACAAAAGUCGUUAUACUGAUAAUGCCAGCAGAGAAAUCAGGGCUCCUCCAUCGGUUGAUAUUUCAAGUGGCACUAGCAAAGAUCAAAUUAUUUUCAAAACUCUGGAACAGGUGCUUAAUGUUGCUAUCAGGGAGGCCUGGCUACAUCUGAAAAUCUUGGUCCCAGAUCUGAAGACGAGAGAGAUGCUGCUGGAUUGAGUUUCUUACAUUGAGAAGCGGCAGAGGUUGGAACGAUCAGAAAAAUUGCUAGAGGAAAACUUGAUCUAUCCUCUGAACUCUGAAGUGUCUUCAUUCUUGCUGCGAUUCUCGACUCCGGUGCCUUAUGUCCUUCUGUGCACAUACGAGACUGGUUGCAGCUGAUUUCUUCACACGCCUCAAACAAAAGGCCAAUAUGAGAGGAUAUGAAAGGUAUGUGUGAACAAAGGCAUACAUUGUUUCAGCCUUUUGUCUUAAAUUAAGUAUUUCUCAUCAGUUGCAUAUUUGAUUUAUUGGUGAGUUUUUUUUAGAGGCAACCAAGGAGGUAUCUGUCACAGUAGCGCGCUUGUAAGACUCUUAUAGUAUUAUUCUGUAUGAAAUAACCAUUUAUAUCAGGAUUCGAGAAUUGUUAUUCACAUUGACCACUAUAAUGUUGCAUCAAACUCUAAUUUUUUUACAUAAAACUGCUUACACUAGUAAAUUUUCCUGUUUGUAAUGGACUAGCGGUCAUCCGACAUGUCAAAUACUGAUUGUAAAAGCGGCAUUUGAGGCUGGAAUAGAUAGAGAUUUCAAAGCCUCUAGCUUGUUGUCUCUUACAUACUUGUGAGAUUAUUGUCCAAGAUGUGGGGGUGUUAAACAACUAAAUUCACAUGAGGCAAACAACAACGUAACUGUCCAAGUUCAACCAAUAUCAAGACAAAAUCUGUGGAGGUUCCAAUGUAAGCACCCUUAACUUCAAAUGUUAUUUAUGUAUGACAAACCUUUCUUCAUUCGUUCAGGAUGGAAGUUCGGGAAGUUCCAGACUGUGUAGCCUUACCCUUAAAAACUAUUUGUACUAACAGGUUUGUUGUAGAGAACGAAGCUAGGAGCAAGAAUGAAAUGCAUGACUCCUGUACAAGGAUGAUACAAACAACUUGAGAAAAGCUCCAAAUAUUUAUCCGUAGUUGUCUCUUUCUUUCUGUCCUCUUUACCAGGCUUUAUUUCUCUGGAAAUCCUGUUUGAAGCGAUCAUACCAUGUGUCAAAUAUUGAGUUUCUGACAUUGCGAAGCCACAAUUGAGGUUUCAUUGACCCGAAAAUUGAUAGAGGUCCAGCACAUGAAACGUCGAAUAAUUCAUACUAGCGCCAAAUCUGAAGAUGUUAAGACAUGCAGGACACUAGAGAAGAUUAGCAUGGCCCCUGCGCAAGGGUGACACGCACAUUUUUGCCCCAUCUGAGAGAACAUGAAAGGGAUGUAUCAUCUUUCAAAGGUUCCAUAAAAGGGAGAAUGGUUAUAAAUGACUCUGAACAAAAUCUGCACGGCUACCUUUGUAAUGGAUGCACGCUUUUGAAGAACAGAUUUAGUGUCUUAUUACUUCCCCCAAUGUCAUACAAAUCAAUGCAAUGGAAGAACCACACUGUAAAAUAUUUACUAAGAAUGAACAGGAGCCGCGCGAACGCAGGCCCCCACUAUCACAAAUUAUGACGUACACUCUUCCUCUUGGGAAGAUGUUAGGCAGGCACCCCUCCAAAAGUGCAAUGGAGGUCACCUACUUAGGCCAUGAGCCUACAUGAUCGCUCAUUGACCCCGUCCAGGUUUUUCUUUGAUUUCUCUGCAACAUAUGUGGGUGUGGGGAUGAUAUGCUCUCAUCUUACAAAUCUAUCUAAACCAGAAGAAGAAGCCAAUAUUUCAAACUGGGGUGCAGUAGCUGGUUAUGUUGGCAUAUAUAGCUGCAAUAGCCAUCGGCGUACUUCCACAUAUCUUUCAUCAGCUAUACAAAAGUAGGGCAUAUAACAUGGCUAUACUUCCACCAAUCCCGUUAGCUAUGGCUAUACCUUUCUACCUCGAUCGGAGGCUACUUUGCUGUCGACAUGUGUGUUGGUACUUGGUAGUUUGAUACUCGAUCUUCUUGUGGCAGUACAAAAAUAAGGCUGAAGCUGAAGCUGAAGCUGAUGCUGAUGCUGAUGCUGAUGCUGAUGCUGAUGCUGAUGCUGAUGCUGAUGCUGAUGCUGAUGCUGAUGCUGAUGCAUACGCUGCCCCUGCUGUUGCGUCUGCUUUGAUUUGCGGUGAUAAUGCCAACUUCUGUACUUGCUUUGGCAGGUAUUAAUCCACCUCUCUGCCUCAAGGUCGUUACUAGACAACAACCUACCACCCUAUAACUUACCACGGUUAUAUAUGUAUGAAUGUAUGUCUAAUACAAUUACCAAGUAUUUUCUUAGCUGAUUAAUUAAUGUAUUCGUUAAAAUUUCGUAUG